This 253-nucleotide ribosomal RNA is filed under the name uncultured bacterium. Its description in RNAcentral is "partial 16S ribosomal RNA". It matches the Rfam family "Bacterial small subunit ribosomal RNA", at positions 524 to 776 of the family's 1533-position model. The record is from RNAcentral.
UACGAAGGGGGCUAGCGUUGCUCGGAAUUACUGGGCGUAAAGCGCACGUAGGCGGCUUUCUAAGUCGGGGGUGAAAUCCUGGAGCUCAACUCCAGAACUGCCUUCGAUACUGGAGAGCUCGAGUCCGGGAGAGGUGAGUGGAACUGCGAGUGUAUAGGUGAAAUUCGUAGAUAUUCGCAAGAACACCAGUGGCGAAGGCGGCUCACUGGCCCGGUACUGACGCUGAGGUGCGAAAGCGUGGGGAGCAAACAGG